CCUACGGGGGGCAGCAGUGGGGAAUAUUGCACAAUGGGGGAAACCCUGAUGCAGCGACGCCGCGUGAGUGAAGAAGUAUUUCGGUAUGUAAAGCUCUAUCAGCAGGGAAGAAAAAAGACGCUACCUGACUAAGAAGCCCCGGCUAACUACGUGCCAGCAGCCGCGGUAAUACGUAGGGGGCAAGCGUUAUCCGGAUGUACUGGGGGUAAAGGGAGCGUAGACGGCGCGGCAAGUCUGAAGUGGAAGGGAGGGGCUUAACCCCUGAACUGCUUUGGAGACUGGCAUGCUAGAGUGCUGGAGAGGUAAGUGGAAUUCCUAGUGUAGCGGUGAAAUGCGUAGAUAUUAGGAGGAACAUCGGUGGCGAAGGCGGCUUACUGGGCUUUUACUGACGCUGAGGCUCGAAAGCGUGGGGAGCAAACAGGAUUAGAUACCCCAGUAGUC
Molecule: ribosomal RNA, 441 nt
Filed under: uncultured bacterium
Lineage: Bacteria
Description: partial 16S ribosomal RNA
Rfam family: Bacterial small subunit ribosomal RNA
Source: RNAcentral